UUAUUAUAUUAAAAAAAUUACAAGGCAUUUUAACGUUAAAAAAAAAAAAACAUUGUAACCCUCAAGGUCUCAGUUCUCUCAAGCUCUCUGUGUUCUCUGUGUUCUCUCAAGCUCUCUCGGCGCUCAAGCUCUCUCGGCUCUCUCAGCUUACAUUGGCUCUCUCUCUCUCUCUCACAACUUCUUCACUGUUCUCUCUCACGCUACCAUUCUCUCACAAAGUUGUCAGGCAUGAUACAAUGUCAUAUGAGGCCUUUGAUUCAAAAAUUGGCUGUACUGCCAAUGCUCACAAUCUCUUGAGCUUGCCUUCAUUAUUGCUGAGCGCCUAAGGAGGAGGAUCACAUCACCGCAAGCUCUUGCCCUCUAGGCUUCUACAGUGAGGCUUUAAGAGCCCACCAAUGUGCUCUUUUUCUUACGUUAAUAGCAGUUAUAUUAGCAUUAGCACUAUUGGAUUUUCAAUUAUUUAUAUUGUGUAUUGUGUGUAUACUAAAAGGAAGAGUGAUGGUUUGAGACACUAUGAAAACACAGGAGAAUAAAUGGAUAACAAUUUAUUUAUUCCAUAGGAAUAUAAGAUAUGAUUGCAUUUUAUU
This is a long non-coding RNA of Quercus robur (English oak), 587 nucleotides long. RefSeq lists it as uncharacterized. The transcript has 2 exons. The record is from RefSeq and is a predicted model, not a curated record. Lineage: Eukaryota; Viridiplantae; Streptophyta; Magnoliopsida; Fagales; Fagaceae.